This 1107-nucleotide ribosomal RNA is filed under the name Alfalfa witches'-broom phytoplasma Urmia. RNAcentral describes it as "bacterial SSU rRNA". It matches the Rfam family "Bacterial small subunit ribosomal RNA", at positions 237 to 1352 of the family's 1533-position model. Lineage: Bacteria; Bacillati; Mycoplasmatota; Mollicutes; Acholeplasmatales; Acholeplasmataceae. The record is from RNAcentral.
CACAUUAGUUAGUUGGUGGGGUAAAGGCCUACCAAGACUAUGAUGUGUAGCUGGGCUGAGAGGUUGAACGGCCACAUUGGGACUGAGACACGGCCCAAACUCCUACGGGAGGCAGCAGUAGGGAAUUUUCGGCAAUGGAGGAAACUCUGACCGAGCAACGCCGCGUGAACGAUGAAGUAUUUCGGUACGUAAAGUUCUUUUAUUAGGGAAGAAUAAAUGAUGGAAAAAUCAUUCUGACGGUACCUAAUGAAUAAGCCCCGGCUAACUAUGUGCCAGCAGCCGCGGUAAUACAUAGGGGGCAAGCGUUAUCCGGAAUUAUUGGGCGUAAAGGGUGCGUAGGCGGUUAAAUAAGUUUAUGGUCUAAGUGCAAUGCUCAACAUUGUGAUGCUAUAAAAACUGUUUAGCUAGAGUAAGAUAGAGGCAAGUGGAAUUUCAUGUGUAGUGGUAAAAUGCGUAAAUAUAUGGAGGAACACCAGUAGCGAAGGCGGCUUGCUGGGUCUUUACUGACGCUGAGGCACGAAAGCGUGGGGAGCAAACAGGAUUAGAUACCCUGGUAGUCCACGCCGUAAACGAUGAGUACUAAACGUUGGGUAAAACCAGUGUUGAAGUUAACACAUUAAGUACUCCGCCUGAGUAGUACGUACGCAAGUAUGAAACUUAAAGGAAUUGACGGGACUCCGCACAAGCGGUGGAUCAUGUUGUUUAAUUCGAAGGUACCCGAAAAACCUCACCAGGUCUUGACAUGCUUCUGCAAAGCUGUAGAAACACAGUGGAGGUUAUCAGUUGCACAGGUGGUGCAUGGUUGUCGUCAGCUCGUGUCGUGAGAUGUUGGGUUAAGUCCCGCAACGAGCGCAACCCUUAUUGUUAGUUACCAGCACGUAAUGGUGGGGACUUUAGCAAGACUGCCAGUGAUAAAUUGGAGGAAGGUGGGGACGACGUCAAAUCAUCAUGCCCCUUAUGACCUGGGCUACAAACGUGAUACAAUGGCUGUUACAAAGGGUAGCUGAAGCGCAAGUUUUUGGCGAAUCUCAAAAAAACAGUCUCAGUUCGGAUUGAAGUCUGCAACUCGACUUCAUGAAGUUGGAAUCGCUAGUAAUCGCGAAUCAG